Molecule: ribosomal RNA, 253 nt
Filed under: uncultured prokaryote
Description: partial 16S ribosomal RNA
Rfam family: Bacterial small subunit ribosomal RNA
Source: RNAcentral
UACGGGGGGGGCAAGCGUUGUUCGGAAUUACUGGGCGUAAAGGGCGCGUAGGCGGUUUGCUAAGUCGAAUGUGAAAACUCCGGGCUUAACCCGGAGCCUGCAUUCGAUACUGGCAGGCUAGAGUUCUGGAGGGGAUAGCGGAAUUCCUGGUGUAGCGGUGAAAUGCGUAGAUAUCAAGAGGAACACCAGUGGCGAAGGCGAGUCCCUGGACAAACCCUGACACUGAGGCACGAAAGCCAGGGGAGCAAACAGG